Non-coding RNA from Ceratotherium simum simum (southern white rhinoceros), 409 nucleotides. Lineage: Eukaryota; Metazoa; Chordata; Mammalia; Perissodactyla; Rhinocerotidae. The record is from RefSeq and is a predicted model, not a curated record.
ACACAUUACAAAGAUACCCACUUAAGGAAAAUUUUUAUACAACCUUGGAGUGGUGAUGAUCUUUUUAAUAGGGUUGGAAACCUAGACAGACAUAUUUUACUAAACAAAAAAUUUAAAUGUCAUAUGGCAGGAGACCAGAGUCAAAGUUAAAAGAAUAGGUAGACUAGAAGAAAUAUUCAUUAGUAAUAGGAAAAGUAUUAAUGUCCCUAUAUACAAAGAUAACUUUAAUAUGAUAAAUUAUUGGAGAAAUCAGCAAACAAUUCACAGAACAGGACAUUUAAGAAGUCAGCAAGCAUAAAAGGUUGGUGAAAAAAACUGCAAAGUAAAAGGUGUAAUAUCCCAUAUUGUUUCAGGUUUUUUUAGUCCUCUGUAUAUGUAGAGACAGAAAUAUGUAUGGAAAAAUACACAC